GGGCUGCGCAUGCGGGGAUCUGACGCAGCGACGCCGCGUGAGCGAAGAAGGCCUUCGGGUCGUAAAGCUCUGUCUUUGGGGAAGAAGAAAGUGACGGUACCCAAGGAGGAAGCCCCGGCUAACUACGUGCCAGCAGCCGCGGUAACACGUAGGGGGCGAGCGUUGUCCGGAAUUACUGGGCGUAAAGGGUGCGUAGGCGGCCUGAUAAGUCAAGUGUGAAAUACCCGGGCUCAACCUGGGUGGUGCACGUGAAACUGUCGGGCUUGAGUGCAGGAGAGGGAAGUGGAAUUCCUAGUGUAGCGGUGAAAUGCGUAGAUAUUAGGAGGAACACCAGUGGCGAAGGCGGCUUCCUGGACUGUAACUGACGCUGAGGCACGAAAGCGUGGGGAGCAAACAGGAUUAGACCCCUGGGGUAGUCAA
This 420-nucleotide ribosomal RNA is filed under the name uncultured bacterium. RNAcentral's name for it is "bacterial SSU rRNA". It matches the Rfam family "Bacterial small subunit ribosomal RNA", at positions 359 to 797 of the family's 1533-position model. The record is from RNAcentral.